Molecule: ribosomal RNA, 496 nt
Filed under: uncultured bacterium
Lineage: Bacteria
Description: partial 16S ribosomal RNA
Rfam family: Bacterial small subunit ribosomal RNA
Source: RNAcentral
GAUGAACGCUGGCGGCGUGCCUAAUACAUGCAAGUCGAGCGAACGGACGAGAAGCUUGCUUCUCUGAUGUUAGCGGCGGACGGGUGAGUAACACGUGGAUAACCUACCUAUAAGACUGGGAUAACUUCGGGAAACCGGAGCUAAUACCGGAUAAUAUUUUGAACCGCAUGGUUCAAAAGUGAAAGACGGUCUUGCUGUCACUUAUAGAUGGAUCCGCGCUGCAUUAGCUAGUUGGUAAGGUAACGGCUUACCAAGGCAACGAUGCAUAGCCGACCUGAGAGGGUGAUCGGCCACACUGGAACUGAGACACGGUCCAGACUCCUACGGGAGGCAGCAGUAGGGAAUCUUCCGCAAUGGGCGAAAGCCUGACGGAGCAACGCCGCGUGAGUGAUGAAGGUCUUCGGAUCGUAAAACUCUGUUAUUAGGGAAGAACAUAUGUGUAAGUAACUGUGCACAUCUGGACGGUACCUAAUCAGAAAGCCACGGUGAACUACGU